This 513-nucleotide ribosomal RNA is filed under the name uncultured bacterium. Its description in RNAcentral is "bacterial SSU rRNA". It matches the Rfam family "Bacterial small subunit ribosomal RNA", at positions 1 to 507 of the family's 1533-position model. The record is from RNAcentral.
GUCACUGACGAGUUUGAUCCUGGCUCAGGAUGAACGCUAGCGGCAGGCUUAACACAUGCAAGUCGAGGGGUAACAGGGAAGCUUGCUUUCGCUGACGACCGGCGCACGGGUGCGUAACGCGUAUACAAUCUACCUUAUACUGGAGAAUAGCCCUAAGAAAUUGGGAUUAAUGCUCCAUAAUAAUUAGUUAUCACAUGGUAAUUAGUUUAAAGCUAUGGCGGUAUAAGAUGAGUAUGCGUCCUAUUAGUUAGUUGGUGAGGUAACGGCUCACCAAGACAGCGAUAGGUAGGGGGCCUGAGAGGGUUAUCCCCCACACUGGUACUGAGACACGGACCAGACUCCUACGGGAGGCAGCAGUGAGGAAUAUUGGUCAAUGGAGGCAACUCUGAACCAGCCAUGCCGCGUGAAGGAAGAAUGUCCUAUGGAUUGUAAACUUCUUUUUAUUUGGGAAGAAACCCUUCUACGUGUAGAAGGCUGACGGUACCAAAGGAAUAAGGACCGGCUAACUCCGUG